GAAGCCGCGAGCUGAAGGGCGAGGCCGGGCGGGGCGCUGGGCUCCGGCACCUCGGGCUCCAUCCUGUGUCGCCUCCCGCAGCUCCGGGCUAGCUCAGGCCGUCCUCCCGUCGUGUUGCACCGCUCUCCGGUGGCGAAGACGGAGCCCACACUCGCCGCACAGCGAGUCAGAGCCUCUGUCUCUUGCAAAAUAGAGAUUUCAUGAAAGACAAAGCCGUACCGUGUGUCAUGCGGCUUACAGUAAAGGACUGGGCAGGCUCUGUGCUCAUCCCGCAGCUCCGGCUCCUCCCAGUUCCCUGCUUUCUGAAAUCACUUCGAAGCGUCUCCCCAUGUGAUUAGACUAGACGGACCGGCCCGGUGCGGGGUCAGCACCUGCUUCCCUGGUUCCCCAGACUGGGGAUUCAGCUCUCUGCAGAAAGGCCACAUGGAGAGCUGAGGCAGAAGCAUCACUCCGUCAGACUCUUGGGAUGAGAAGUAUGGAGCCUGGAACCAUAUAAGGUGAUAAAGCCAGAGCUUCACUUAUUCCACAAAUGUUAACACCUGCUAAGUGCCAGGCCUGUUCUAAACACUGAGGAUCCCACAUGAACAAAGGAGACAAAAAUGUCUGCCUUUGUGAUGCUUCCCUCAUAGUGAAAGGAAACAAUUAAAAAUAAGCAGGUAAAACACGUAUAGUUAUAUGUCAGAUGGUGAAAAAUGCUAAGGAGAAAUAAGAGAGCUUGGGAGUGACAACAGUGACUACAUUUAGCUUUGUUUUCUAACAGUGUAUCUGGGGUUCGGAGCAGAGCAGAGAGAAGAUGUGGCCCUCGUGCUGGGACGAGCCUGCAUUGCUGGGAUCAGUGUUCAUUUUGCAGCACUGCCUUUGGGACAAACACACACUCAGUGUCCCCACUAAGUCCCUCUUCCUCCCCAGGUGGUGUCCAUUCUCACACAGCAAACUUAAGGGGCAAGCACAUCUCUGGAGAGUGGAUCAGUGCAAGGCUGAAGUUACUGAAAUGUUCGACCAGUUGUGCCUCAGAUUUGACAGCAGAGAUGAUUAACAAUAACAUAAUUAUUGAACUGCAAACAAACAAACAAACAAAAGGUGUUUCUCAGAACUGAAAAAUCAGAGAAGCAGUGAAUAGCCCUGAGCAGGCCUGCACAAGCCUGAGCUGAGACCCGCACAAGCACACCUCCACUGCCAGGAGCACCUCCAAGCUUUCACCCCUUCCUAAACCCCUGACCAGAAGAUUCUGGCUGUGCCCAAGUUUCUCCAGGAGAGGGCAACACCACCUUAACAAACUGCCCUGCCAGCAGAUGUGCUGUGGCUGCCAGAAUGAGGUCAAGAUAUUUAAGGAAGCGGGAGGUUGCAAAAAACCAUAUAAAAAUAGAUUGUGUUCUAUUUCUGUGUUUUGCCCAGUCUUUGACUAGGCAAGGCUGCAUAGCAGUCUGUCUGUUGUCACUUAACCUUUAGCAUUGCUGUGCCCACUGACCAAUUCAUGAAGACCAGUGCUGUGACUCUGCCCCAUCCCUCUCAGAAUGUACCCAGAAUUUCUCAAGGAAAUAGCCAAUAAACUCAGUCACCCUGGGUGAUACAAUUUCAGAGCUGGAAGGAGCCUUACUCCACAGUCUAGAAACAGACCGGGAGGUAGCGCCACGGCUGCUGUCACAGCUGAAGAUUGCGCAUCCCUGCCCCACCGAGGACCCGCCUCGGCUUCAGAUGUUUCCUCACCAACCCGGAGAUCCCCGUGCUUGGGGUGGGGAGACGGAGCCGUGGAAGAGGGUGCGUGCUCAGAGCCACCUCCCAGAGAGCUGAAAGUAGAGCCUCCUAGCUGCACCCUUCCAUCCACCGCUUCCAGGCGUCCUCCUGAGGACGGGCAGCCCACUUGCUGGCCACAGCAGAGAGGCCGGCACUCGUCGGGAACUACAGCUCCCAGCAGACACCAGAGGGGGACAGGCUGUGCCCCUGUGCCUGUUCCAGAUUCCCAAAUAUGGAGAAGGACUGGGCUUGGGGAGAGGAACUGAGUGUUCACCCUUGAGAGAGGGAGAGAGAGAGGAUGAGGUGACAUGUAGCAGUGAGUGACUUCCUUCACCUCUAAGACUGAAGCUCCACGGACUGGCUGCGGAGCAGGGAGGAAGAGGAACAGGUCAUUAAAAGGAAUAAUCAAGCUUGGUCUCUGAGCCCUUCUCCAAGGAGAAGGUGAUGGGACUGCAACCUUACAAAACAGCCUGAAUUACCAAGAAGACCACACCUUGAGUGCUUAGGAGAUAAAGAGGUCUAACUGCUAACUGGUCGCCCGGAGGCAUCAUGACGCCCUUCUGAGUCUUCUGAUGAGAAAAUGGUUCUGCUGCUUGUUAUCGAUGCUUUAUUGUUCGAGCUCUGGCUGUAUAACCACCCCACCCCAUCCCCAAGGGGGUUCACAGUUUUGAAGGCACUAGCCUGCUGUGAGUCCCCUUUGCCCAGCAAAGCAAUAAAAUUGCCUCUUUUCUUCUAA
Long non-coding RNA from Camelus dromedarius (Arabian camel), 2470 nucleotides. RefSeq lists it as uncharacterized. The record is from RefSeq and is a predicted model, not a curated record. The transcript has 6 exons. Lineage: Eukaryota; Metazoa; Chordata; Mammalia; Artiodactyla; Camelidae.